AGCGAACGCUAGCGGCGGGCUUAACACAUGCAAGUCGAGCGCUCCUUCGGGAGAGCGGCGAACGGGUGAGUAACACGUAGGUAACGUACCCCCAGGACAGGGAUAACUCGAGGAAACUCGAGCUAAUACCAGAUAUGUCUCCGGAUGAAAGCGGUAACGCGCCAGGGGAGCGGCCUGCGGCCCAUUAUUUAAUCCUUGAUGGUGAGGUAACGGCUCACCAUGGGUACGAUGGGUAGCUGGUCUGAGAGGAUGAUCAGCCACACUGGGACUGAGACACGGCCCAGACUCCUACGGGAGGCAGCAGUGGGGAAUAUUGCGCAAUGGACGAAAGUCUGACGCAGCCACGCCGCGUGUGUGAUGAAGGCCUUCGGGUUGUAAAGCACUGUCGGGAGGGACGAAAAAUGACGGUACCUCGCAAGAAAGCACCGGCUAAAUCCG
Molecule: ribosomal RNA, 438 nt
Filed under: uncultured Myxococcales bacterium
Lineage: Bacteria; Pseudomonadati; Myxococcota; Myxococcia; Myxococcales
Description: bacterial SSU rRNA
Rfam family: Bacterial small subunit ribosomal RNA
Source: RNAcentral